Molecule: ribosomal RNA, 694 nt
Filed under: uncultured bacterium
Lineage: Bacteria
Description: bacterial SSU rRNA
Rfam family: Bacterial small subunit ribosomal RNA
Source: RNAcentral
AACGCUAGCUACAGGCUUAACACAUGCAAGUCGAGGGGUAACGAGAGGAAAGCUUGCUUUCCUUGUCGACGACCGGCGCACGGGUGAGUAACGCGUAUCCAACCUGCCCCCAACUAGGGAAUAACCUUGCGAAAGUAAGACUAAUACCCUAUGAUUUCCUUUGAUGACAUCAGAUUAGGAAUAAAGAUUUAUCGGUUAUAGAUGGGGAUGCGUCUGAUUAGCUUGUUGGCGGGGUAACGGCCCACCAAGGCAACGAUCAGUAGGGGUUCUGAGAGGAAGGUCCCCCACAUUGGAACUGAGACACGGUCCAAACUCCUACGGGAGGCAGCAGUGAGGAAUAUUGGUCAAUGGGCGGAAGCCUGAACCAGCCAAGUAGCGUGCAGGAUGACGGCCCUAUGGGUUGUAAACUGCUUUUAUACAGGAAUAAAGUUAGCCACGUGUGGUUAUUUGUAGGUACUGUAUGAAUAAGGACCGGCUAAUUCCGUGCCAGCAGCCGCGGUAAUACGGAAGGUCCAGGCGUUAUCCGGAUUUAUUGGGUUUAAAGGGAGCGUAGGCCGUCUGCUAAGCGUGUUGUGAAAUGUAGAUGCUCAACAUCUGAAUUGCAGCGCGAACUGGCAGACUUGAGUGUGCGCAACGUAGGCGGAAUUCGUGGUGUAGCGGUGAAAUGCUUAGAUAUCACGAAGAACUCCGAUUG